Molecule: transfer RNA, 130 nt
Filed under: Candidatus Woesearchaeota archaeon
Lineage: Archaea; Nanobdellati; Candidatus Woesearchaeota
Description: tRNA-Ser
Source: RNAcentral
GGCGCGAUGGCACAACCUGGUACUGCGAUGGCCUUGAGAGCCAUUUUCCUUCGGGAUAUCCCGGUUCAAAGUCAAAGUUACGCUUCAAACUCAAAAAAGCGGAGCUUUUAUGGAUGUCCGGGUCGCGCCG